Molecule: ribosomal RNA, 460 nt
Filed under: uncultured bacterium
Lineage: Bacteria
Description: partial 16S ribosomal RNA
Rfam family: Bacterial small subunit ribosomal RNA
Source: RNAcentral
CCUACGGGUGGCAGCAGUGAGGAAUAUUGGUCAAUGGACGAGAGUCUGAACCAGCCAAGUAGCGUGAAGGAUGACUGCCCUAUGGGUUGUAAACUUCUUUUAUAUGGGAAUAAAACGUUCCACGUGUGGGAUUUUGUAUGUACCCUAUGAAUAAGGAUCGGCUAACUCCGUGCCAGCAGCCGCGGUAAUACGGAGGAUCCGAGCGUUAUCCGGAUUUAUUGGGUUUAAAGGGAGCGUAGGUGGAGUGUUAAGUCAGUUGUGAAAGUUUGCGGCUCAACCGUAAAAUUGCAGUUGAAACUGGCAGUCUUGAGUACAGUAGAGGUGGGCGGAAUUCGUGGUGUAGCGGUGAAAUGCUUAGAUAUCACGAAGAACUCCGAUUGCGAAGGCAGUUCACUGGACUGCAACUGACACUGAGGCUCGAAAGUGUGGGUAUCAAACAGGAUUAGAUACCCUGGUAGUC